AGUCUUUCUGCCCAUUGUUUUUAAAAGGCUGCGGUAAUUUAACUGUACAAAGGUAGCAAAAUAAAUAGUUUUUUAAUUGAAAACUAGAAUGAAAGAAUUGAUAAAAUAUAAAUUGUCUCAAUUUAUAAAUUUAAAUUUUAAGUUAAAGUGCUUAAAUUUAUUUAUGGGACGAUAAGACCCUAAGAAUUUGAUAAUUUUAUUUAUUAUAAUAUUUAAAUUUAAAUAAAAUUAUUUUAUUGGGAGGAUAAUUAAAUUGAACUUUAAUUUUUAGUAACAUAUAUAAAUUUAAAUGAUUAUUUUAAAGAUUAAAAGAAUAAAUUACCUUAGGGAUAACAGCGUAAUAAUUUUGGAGAGUUCAUAUUUAUAAAAUUGUUUACGACCUCGAUGUUGAAUUAAAAUAAAAAUUAAAUGGAGAUAUUUAAAUUUUUAGUCUGUUCGACUAUUAAAAUUUUAC
This 454-nucleotide ribosomal RNA is filed under the name Agelaia timida. RNAcentral describes it as "partial large subunit ribosomal RNA". Lineage: Eukaryota; Metazoa; Arthropoda; Insecta; Hymenoptera; Vespidae. The record is from RNAcentral.